AGAGCGAACGCUGGCGGCAGGCUUAACACAUGCAAGUCGAGCGGACGUAGCAAUACGUCAGCGGCAGACGGGUGAGUAACGCGUGGGAACGUACCUUUUGGUUCGGAACAACACAGGGAAACUUGUGCUAAUACCGAAUACGCCCUUACGGGGAAAGAUUUAUCGCCGAAAGAUCGGCCCGCGUCUGAUUAGCUAGUUGGUGGGGUAACGGCCCACCAAGGCGACGAUCAGUAGCUGGUCUGAGAGGAUGAUCAGCCACAUUGGGACUGAGACACGGCCCAAACUCCUACGGGAGGCAGCAGUGGGGAAUCUUGCGCAAUGGGCGAAAGCCUGACGCAGCAACGCCGCGUGGAGGACGAAGGCUUUCUGAGUUGUAAACUCCUUUCAGCAGGGACGAUAGUGACGGUACCUGCAGAAGAAGCACCGGCCAACUACGUGCCAGCAGCCGC
This 449-nucleotide ribosomal RNA is filed under the name uncultured bacterium. RNAcentral's name for it is "SSU rRNA". It matches the Rfam family "Bacterial small subunit ribosomal RNA", at positions 26 to 518 of the family's 1533-position model. The record is from RNAcentral.